This 778-nucleotide ribosomal RNA is filed under the name uncultured Neocallimastigales. RNAcentral's name for it is "partial large subunit ribosomal RNA". It matches the Rfam family "Eukaryotic large subunit ribosomal RNA", at positions 23 to 616 of the family's 3401-position model. Lineage: Eukaryota; Fungi; Neocallimastigomycota; Neocallimastigomycetes; Neocallimastigales. The record is from RNAcentral.
ACACGCAUGACACACUGCAUAUCAAUAAGCGGAGGAAAAGAAACUAACAAGGAUUCCCCUAGUAACGGCGAGUGAAGCGGGAAGAGCUCAAAUUUGAAAUCUUAAAGGGCUUCCCUUUACGAAUUGUAGUUUAAAGAAGUGUUUUCUGUUGGAGUUUUCGGUAAAAGUUCUUUGGAAUAGGACAUCAUAGAGGGUGAGAAUCCCGUAUUUGACCGUUACUUUCCAGCUGUGUGAUACACUUUCAAAGAGUCGGAUUGUUUGGGAAUGCAGUCCAAAAUGGGUGGUAAAUUUCAUCUAAAGCUAAAUAUUGGCGAGAGACCGAUAGCGAACAAGUACCGUGAGGGAAAGAUGAAAAGAACUUUGAAAAGAGAGUUAAACAGUACGUGAAAUUGUCAAAAGGGAAGCGUUUGACACCAGUGUUGUUUAGUUGAAAAUCAAUUCAAUAAUUUUUGAUUUUAAGUAGUAUUGACUUCAUCAGCUUGCUGCUUUCUUUUCAGGAAUUAUUGAAUGCACUUUUCAGUUAACAAGUCAACAUCAAUUUCUUUUGUUGUAAAAGGGUAAGAGGAAGGUGGCUUACGCUUCGGCGUAAGUGUUUAUAGCCUUUCACCUCUGCAAUCGGAGAGAUUGAGGACAGCAGCGUAGACUCUUCGGGGUUAGAUACACUUGUGCUAAGCUAUAGCCUUGUAUAGACAACUUGUUGACUAUGUUCAGUCAUUGUAGCUUACUCGCUUAGUGCUAUUUUACCUACGCUUAGGAUGUUGAGCGCAUGUCUCUCUCU